Molecule: long non-coding RNA, 436 nt
Organism: Myotis davidii
Lineage: Eukaryota; Metazoa; Chordata; Mammalia; Chiroptera; Vespertilionidae
Exons: 4
Source: RefSeq, a predicted model, not a curated record
AUGGUUAUAGGCUGACAGGACCAUAAAGGAGAUGAUGCUAGAUAGUUGAUAGAUCCUAUAGUUCAACUUCAUCCUAGUUAGAAGCUGGAUUCAUCUGACAUCAGAGAAAUGAAAUUUCAGGAGACCAAAACUAGAUCUGAGUUUCUUUAUAGAAACUUCUUUCCCAGUCUUGAAACUUGGAUGCUUUGAGUCCUGGAUAUGCAAUGGAUGAUGACAACAUUUUCCUUUUAUGUAUGAAGGCGUAGAUGGAAGCUGACUUUUCUCACCAAAAAUGGCUUAUAGAAUCAACUUGAAAAAACAUGAGGCAGUAAACAAAGGAAAGAGUAAAAUAUUUAUUUUAUCAUCCUUAAAUUCUUUGCUAGAUUGUAAACUUCAUGAAAGCAGGAUAACUUCCUUAUCCUUAACACCUGGUCUAUAAUACAUACUCAAAAAAUAA